This 492-nucleotide ribosomal RNA is filed under the name uncultured bacterium. RNAcentral describes it as "partial 16S ribosomal RNA". It matches the Rfam family "Bacterial small subunit ribosomal RNA", at positions 29 to 507 of the family's 1533-position model. The record is from RNAcentral.
AGUGAACGCUGGCGGUAGGCCUAACACAUGCAAGUCGAACGGCAGCACAGUAAGAGCUUGCUCUUACGGGUGGCGAGUGGCGGACGGGUGAGGAAUACAUCGGAAUCUACUUUUUCGUGGGGGAUAACGUAGGGAAACUUACGCUAAUACCGCAUACGACCUACGGGUGAAAGCAGGGGAUCUUCGGACCUUGCGCGAUUGAAUGAGCCGAUGUCGGAUUAGCUAGUUGGCGGGGUAAAGGCCCACCAAGGCAACGAUCCGUAGCUGGUCUGAGAGGAUGAUCAGCCACACUGGAACUGAGACACGGUCCAGACUCCUACGGGAGGCAGCAGUGGGGAAUAUUGGACAAAGGGCGCAAGCCUGAUCCAGCCAUGCCGCGUGGGUGAAGAAGGCCUUCGGGUUGUAAAGCCCUUUUGUUGGGAAAGAAAAGCAGCAGGUUAAUACCCCGCUGUUCUGACGGUACCCAAAGAAUAAGCACCGGCUAACUUCGUG